CCCGGCGACCGGCGCACGGGUGAGUAACACGUAUGAAACCUGCCCGUAGCAGGGGGAUAAGCGGAAGAAAUUCCGUCUAAUACCGCGUAACAACCCAUGGAGGCAUCUCUGUGGGUUUAAAGGAAGCGAUUCCGGCUACGGAUGGUCAUGCGUCGCAUUAGCUUGUUGGCGGGGUAACGGCCCACCAAGGCGACGAUGCGUAGGGGUUCUGAGAGGAAGGUCCCCCACACUGGUACUAAGACACGGACCAGACUCCUACGGAAGGCAGCAG
This 271-nucleotide ribosomal RNA is filed under the name uncultured bacterium. RNAcentral describes it as "partial 16S ribosomal RNA". It matches the Rfam family "Bacterial small subunit ribosomal RNA", at positions 87 to 354 of the family's 1533-position model. The record is from RNAcentral.